RNAcentral lists this ribosomal RNA (292 nucleotides) under uncultured bacterium. RNAcentral describes it as "partial 16S ribosomal RNA". It matches the Rfam family "Bacterial small subunit ribosomal RNA", at positions 505 to 796 of the family's 1533-position model. The record is from RNAcentral.
GUGUCAGCAGCCGCGGUAAUACGAAGGGGGCUAGCGUUGUUCGGAAUUACUGGGCGUAAAGGGCGUGUAGGCGGCUCGUUAAGUCAGGUGUGAAAUUCCUGGGCUCAACCCAGGACGUGCGCCUGAUACUGGCGAGCUUGAGUCCGGGAGAGGAUGGUGGAACUCCCAGUGUAGAGGUGAAAUUCGUAGAUAUUGGGAAGAACACCCGUGGCGAAGGCGGCCAUCUGGACCGGUACUGACGCUAAGGCGCGACAGCGUGGGGAGCAAACAGGAUUAGAUACCCGUGUAGUCC